CUUUUCUUUUUUUCUUAAAGAUCUUUAUAAGCAGAGAAAAACUGCCAGAAAACAGUGAAAGGAGCACAAAAUCAGAAUAGGGUUGGGGGGACUGCAAAAGCCAAUGGUGGUGCUAGCAAGAAGCAAUUAGUUUUAGUUUAAGGGAACAAGGCAAGUGGACACAGCUCAGAUGGGGUGCUCCACUCAUUAGCUCUUUUUUUUUUUUCCUUUUCUCAUGAAACGUUAUAUUCACAAUUUUCAGCAGGAAACACCCAACUCGCCCAAGCUGUGUUUCCUGUGUUUUCUAAACGGUAUAAUACGUUAUUACAAAAGAAACAAUCCAAACAGCCCUGUGGAGGGGUGAGAAGUAAAGAAUAGUUUUAUACUUAACCAGACACCAGAUUAUGAGGUCAAGUCAUACAGCAUCGUGAGAGAUACAAGGAAAAACUGAAAGUGAACGCUUUCUGCCUGAACUUCUCGAUCCAAAAAACAACCUUUGAGAAGAGGAUGAACCAGAAUGUGUAAAACUAAGUAAUUCCGGGAGGAAACCCUAAGAUGACCUGAGAUAUUCAGUCCAAGAGGGUGGGUGACACCAUUUCAAAGCCAGUCUAAGAAAGGGUGGUUGAGAUGCCUCUGGCAAACCCUUUCAACUUCUGAAGGUCCCAGCGCCAAGCGACAAGGGCCCUGGGCAGAGCCAAGGGAGAGCUUGACACAGACGGCCGCGGUCACAGGGCUGGAGAGUUAGGCCCCGGGUCGUGUGGUCUGGCGGAUUCUAUCCAUUUCCGCCCAGGACGGUAAGAAACCCCAGAGACCGAGCCGUGGCGGAGCAGUUGGUCCCCGGUGCAGGAAUUCGCUGUCCUCCCAGCACAGUGCACGGCUGGGAACCCGAUCAGCCCGCGUGUCAGCUUGGGGCGGAGCCAAGCCUGGUCACCACCGGAAGUGCGUCACUAGAGCGGGCCGGGAGCGCAGGCCGAACCCGGAAGCAGGCCUGGCGUAGGCUGGAGCUUGGGGGAGGCGCCGGGUCUCUGAGAUUUAGUGACCGAACUGCCCGCGCGGAGAGGACUGGCGGCGGAGAACUGCAGCAAGAGCAGGAAACCCACGGGACCGCGGACGUGCGCGAGGCUCGAGGCCGUGCUGCACCGAGGGGCUCGACUCGUGGCGCCGAGCGGUCACUUCCGGCCUGCGGGGGGUACUUUUUAAAGGGAUAGCGGGUAUUUCCGAAGCCACGGGGGCAUCGCCACGCCGCGGUGUCGCCGCUGGGGCCGGGGCUUCUGUGGGUUCUAAUGAUUCUGCCGUACGUGCUUUGCCCUAAUUGUCAACUGUUUUGUCAAGUCCGCGUUGGCUCCAAGAGAGACCUUCCCUGACGUUUUCAGUGCCCGCGGAGUGGACAGCCCCGGCGGAGCAUCUGACCGCCCGCUCCCCGGCUCCCGCUGCAGCUGUCAUUCACGUCGAUGAUGCUGUUUUCCUUAGAGAUCCGAGUGUACAAAUGGACUGAUGCUGCAAAGUCCGUGGGUGGGGUUGGGGUGGGGAGAGUACUUCUGCCUGCCAGGUCUUCAGAGAUGGGUUUACACUUCGAUGAGUAGCGCUGACAAGCCACGUCUUGCAAGGGCGGUUGCAUUCGACCGAAUAGCACAGGUUCCCUUCACCGAUAUGAGCUCGGGUAGCAUUCAUCAUCUGGAGGGGGAUCUUUCCUUAUCUACUUCUCCUUUCUACUGUUUGAAGUGUAAAUUCGUCUUAGGUUAUUGAGUUUUCAGUACUUUGAUUGUAUCCAAAUGGAAGCAUUCAAGUGUGAUAUUGUCUGGCAGUAAAUUUACUUUAAAAAAAAAAAAGCUUACCCUGUGGACUAUCACAUGAGUUAAAUAUCCAAGAUAAAAGAGUGAACAGAGAGUUGCAGGAGGACUAAGAAACACGAGUAAACAUGAGUAACUGUGAUAACGGUUAUAAUUUGCUUUAAAGAUCAUUUACAUUUUCUUUUUAAAUUUCCUGUGUAUGAGUUCUUUGCCUGGAUGUGUGUCUAUUCACGAUGUGCUAGAGCAACCAGAGCUCUUAACCACUGAGCCAUUUCUCCAACCCCCAAAGAGUAUAUAUUUGCCUUUUGAGAGAGAACAGUUUUUAGUCGUUUUUGUCAUUUCCAUGGACGUGGGAAAUUAAAAUUCCAAAUUUAUUUCUUGGCUAUUUUACUAGGAAAUCUAACUUAAUAAAACGGUUGUUCUGUUGAACCUAUAGGUCAUACAUUGGGAUAAGAUAGUUCCAAAAGUGCAGUUACCACCUCGAUGUACCUUAAUGUUAGUCAUUAAAAUUCUCUGAGUGGUGUGGAAAAGUAAAUCGUACACAUCAAAGAAGGGGCUCUUGGGAUCUAGGAGGGGUGGGACAAGGCUUAAACAGACACCUUUCAGUCUCAGGCUUAGUCUGGAGGACAUGAAGUUCUUGUCUGUAGUUUUAUAGGUUAAGAUUAUUUUCAUUGUUGUGGGAAAGAAUAGUGUUAUUGUUUUUAGUUUUGUUUUUCAAAAAAGAAAAAUGAGUCACCAUAUAGUUUGUGGGACUUACUUGGAGAGAGAGAUCAAAAUGUCGCUUGCACUUGACAGUCGGUAUGGAGUAAAAGGCUUUGAAACCCAUGGAAGUCUGGGCACAUGCGCUCCUCUCAUUGAGGGCAGUAGUGUCCAUGUGCAGUCUUUUGCAAUAUCAUAUGUUAUAAGAAAUUGUUUUAAAAUAGAUGCUCAAUAAAUGCAUAUGUUCUAAAGUAAUAAAGCAUAAUAAAAAAAAGCAAA
RNAcentral lists this long non-coding RNA (2747 nucleotides) under Mus musculus (house mouse). Its description in RNAcentral is "RIKEN cDNA C030034I22 gene (C030034I22Rik)". Lineage: Eukaryota; Metazoa; Chordata; Mammalia; Rodentia; Muridae. The record is from RNAcentral.